RNAcentral lists this microRNA (22 nucleotides) under Gallus gallus (chicken). RNAcentral's name for it is "gga-miR-1678". The record is from miRBase by way of RNAcentral. Lineage: Eukaryota; Metazoa; Chordata; Aves; Galliformes; Phasianidae.
UUUGACAAAGACAGAAGGAGCU